AUACGGAGGAUGCAAGCGUUAUCCGGAUUUAUUGGGUUUAAAGGGUGCGUAGGCUGUUUGGAAAGUCAGGGGUGAAAGCCCGGCGCCUAACGCCGGAACUGCCUUUGAUACUUCCGAGCUGGAAUACGGAUGCCGUGGGAGGAAUGAGUAGUGUAGCGGUGAAAUGCAUAGAUAUUACUCAGAACACCGAUUGCGAAGGCAUCUCACGAAUCCGUCAUUGACGCUGAGGCACGAAAGCGUGGGGAUCAAACAGGAUUAGAUACCCUGGUAGUCCACGCAGUAAACGAUGAUGACUAACCGUCGGCGAUACACAGUCGGUGGCCAAGCGAAAGCGAUAAGUCAUCCACCUGGGGAGUACGUUCGCAAGAAUGAAACUCAAAUGAAUUGACGGGG
RNAcentral lists this ribosomal RNA (393 nucleotides) under uncultured bacterium. Its description in RNAcentral is "partial 16S ribosomal RNA". It matches the Rfam family "Bacterial small subunit ribosomal RNA", at positions 523 to 918 of the family's 1533-position model. The record is from RNAcentral.